UAAAGUCACAAGAUCCAAUCCAUACUCACAAGGAGAGGAUAACACAAGGAUAGGAUAUCAGGAGGUAAGGAUCAUUGGGAGCCAUGACCGAAGCUGCCUACCACAUCUGUCAACAGGAAAAUGGGUUUCAAUUCUUUUGCAAUGAGUUUGCUGCCAGAACACAGGUGUCGUGAAAACCACCACUAAAUCAAAACUAAAAUGGUAAAGGUAAAGGCUCACAUCAACAUUAUUGUCAUUGGACACAUAGAUUUGGGCAAGUUUACCACAACUGGCCAUCUGAUCUACAAAUGUGGUGGGAUCAAAAGAACCAUUGAAAAAUUUGAGAAGGAAGCUGCUGAAAUGGGAAAGGACCAACUAUGCCUGAGUCUUGGAUAAACUGAAAGCUGAGCAUGAGUGUGGUAUCACCAAUGACAUCUCCCUGCGGAAAUUUGAGACCAGCAAGUAUUAUGUGACUAUCAUUGAUGUCCCAGGACACAGAGUCUGCAUCAAAACCAUAAUUGAUUAGAGGAACAUCCCAAGCUGACUGUGCAGUCCUCGUUGUUGUGGUGGUUUUGG
Molecule: long non-coding RNA, 555 nt
Filed under: Marmota monax (woodchuck)
Lineage: Eukaryota; Metazoa; Chordata; Mammalia; Rodentia; Sciuridae
Source: RNAcentral